Physeter macrocephalus (sperm whale) is the source of this 4258-nucleotide long non-coding RNA. RefSeq lists it as uncharacterized. The record is from RefSeq and is a predicted model, not a curated record. The transcript has 5 exons. Lineage: Eukaryota; Metazoa; Chordata; Mammalia; Artiodactyla; Physeteridae.
ACACCCUCAUUUAUAGCACUGAGCGUGUCACUCGGGCAGCAUGUGGGCCAAGAAAGGGAGAGUCCAGGAAAGGUGAGAUUAGCAGACAGUCGGGAAAGUCACCUGAUGUGAAGAGAGAGAGACUGGGGUAGACCAGAUGGCUGCAUCAGCACGGUCCGGGGACACGCCGUGGGCUGCACUUUGGAAGGGUUGAUUCGAGCAGAAUUUCUUCUUGAGAAGGCUUGAAAAGCAUUUUCAAGUGCUUUAUCUCGUUUGGAUCCUCGCGACAGCCCUGUGAAUGUGAGGAGGGCAAGUAUUUCCCAGGAGCUGCAGAUCUGACAGGACAGGAGGGAAGAGGCUCCAGGAACAAGUCUCUUCGGGAUGCAGGGGGCCCUUCCCAGACGCUGCUGGCAUCCUGGACCCGAUGCUGCCUCCCUGCUCACAUACUUCAUCAUGGUCAGAAGACCUUUUCCCUCGGAACUUCACACUUCUUAAAGUGUGCCGUCUCUUUACUAUCAGAACCAGCAGCACAGCAUGUAACAGGAUCUCGCAGGGAAACGCAGGGAGACCUGAGAGGUGCGUCAAGCUUUGGGGAAUGACCAGCAGAGCACCCCACAGGUGUUCCAGGAUCAGUUGGAAAGUGGACCAGGGAGCAGGUGGCAGACCUUCCAUGGCUGCGCGGGCUCCACAGAUCUGCCUCUGAGGGCCAGUGUCCUCUGGGUCUCAACUGACCACUCAGAACCCUGUAGAGUGUUCUGUCUCCAAGAAAAGACAGAUUAACUUCUGGCCCAGGUUAUGGGAUCCUCUCAUCUGCUCAGAGAACGGAGCUGCCGCCAGCUGCUGUGCGUCCAAGGACUCUGUGUUCUCUUGUAGGAGGUUCCUGGAUAAUUUAAAAUUCUAAACCAAGGGCAGUGCACAGAAGCCUGGGGGAGCCCCUGGGUAGCAGUUUUAAUGACAUCAACAAAACUCAGUCUGGUUAUCUUGGCAAGAGAACAACGUCAGGAAACAGAAGACCUGGGUUUGAGGCCUGGCUCUGUUCAGUGUCAGCUUUAUCGCUGAACUCUGCACCCAUGCUGCUUCUGGAAACAGAACAUUGACUGUGAGGGGCCGUCUGUUCUUUGCAGAACCCCUGCUGGAAGGCUUUGGUUAAGACUUCAGUGGAGUCCCCAGGCCACUGACUUCCCACAGUCUUAAACCAACCAUGGAUACAUCCACCAGGGACCUCAUUUUGUGGAGGGGAAACUGAGGCAUGGAGUAAGUCACGUGCCCACGGUCACAAAGGCCGGGUAAGAGUGAUAAGCUGAGGUCUGGCUCCUAAGCACAAUAAACCCUACUGCCAACUUGAUGUUUCCAAAGAGAUGAUGAAACAGCCCACCCUGCCCCCCUCCUUGGACCCUGACCACCUCCUCCGGCCCCACAUCCUGUGCCUCACACACCCAUCAGGCUCCCAGUCCCUAUCCGCUGUGAGUGUCCACCAUUUGCAGCUCUCAGGCCCCUGAUAUGAGGAAUAGCUGGGACACAGGGAGGAGGGGGCAGCGGAAGGGAACUUAGUUCUGCUUCUUCUCCACCUUGUGGAAAAGCUGGAAGACAGGCCACAGGAACCUCAUCUCUGUAUGACCUCAGAUUUGACUAUGUUAGGAAAAAUAAUUUUUAAAAAAUAUUAUGGUAAAAUAUACAUUUAAAAAAAGGUUUGGAAUUUCAGUGGAACUAGGAAAAGGACAAAGAGUGAGGCUAAUAGAAGGACUUUGAAAGGAUCCAUCUCAGCCUGGGUGAACGAAUUUUUCCUUAUCAUCAGACAUUAGACCAUUCUAUUUGCUUUAAAUAAAAGAUGCUUCAUCUUAACUGGCUAUGAAAGGGUAAGAUUGGAAACACAGACACUGAAUUAGAGGGACAAAAAGAAAAUGUUCCCUCCCUGUGCCCCCCUCCCUGCCCCAGUUCCACCCCUUUUAUUCUGGGUGAGCUUCUCCUCUUUCUAGAACAGUUCUCAAAGUGAGGUCCACAGACAACACCCUUUCAGAGGGAUCCUCAAGGGCAAAAUGAUUUUUAUAAUAAUAUUAAAACAUUCACCUUUUUUACUGUGCUGACAUUUGCCCUGAUGGUGCUUAAAACUCCUGGAGCCUUAGCACUAAACUGUACUAGCAAUCACGAUAUUCUUCAUCAUGUACUUGCAGGAAAAAAAUACUAGUUUCCUUUAAAAAAUGUCCUUGAUGAAGCAGUAAAAAUUAAGUUUCUUAAUAAGCGAAGACACAUCUUUUUAGUUUCUGGGUAGGUAACAACAUGGAAAAGUACACAGAAGGUCUGGUGCUGAGAUAGAUUGGUUGUCCUGGGAAAUGCAGUUGUGGAUUUGAGUUGCAAGCUAAACUAACCAUUUCAUUCAUAAGGGCCAUUUGUAUUUGAAAGACCAACUGACAAAUGAUGUUUCUUCAGACUUGGGUAUUUGGCAGGUAUUUCCCCAAAAGUAAAUGAAAUCAGUCUGUCACUCCCAAAAGAACAACUUUGAAUAUUUGUUGCUGAUGAUAAAAUUUGAGCUUUCAAGUGAAAAUUUGAAUUUUUGAAAAUUUGUAUCUGCCACUGGGAGCUUGAUAGCUUCUCAGGACUUUUCUGGUGAAACUGGUGGUGAGAGUAACUAAUGUGAUCGUUUGAUAUCAUAUGUCGAAAUGAGUCAACAUUUUGAAGCAGUGUUUUCCGAUGACUAAUGCAUGUUACAAAACCACACAUGGGUAAAAGAUCCAUUCAAAGUGCAAGACGGACCAAUGGAAUUUACUGUAACCAUAGGCAAGUUUAUUGAUAUGGUUUCAUAUGCCAACUGGAAUUUAUCUUUAAGAAACUACCAUUUGUCAGUUUAGGUGUAGUAUAAAACAAUAUCCGGUUAUGUGAAACCGCUAUAAAACACACCUGCCUGUUCCAAUUACAGAUCCCUGUGAGGCCUGAUUUUCUUCAAAAUGUAUCACAACAGACUGAUGCAGAAGCCAGUAUAGGAAUCCAGCUCUUUCCCACUAAACCAGACAUCAAAGAGAUUUAAAAACACGUAAAAUAGUGCUGUUCUCACUUUUCGGGAAAAAGUUAUUUUUUAUAAAAAUAUUAAUAUAGAUGUAAUUUCAAAAAUGAAUCAUAGUUUUAAACUUGUUUUAAUUUCCAAUAUGGUUAACAUUGAGGACGAGUGGUGUGCUAGUAAAUGUUUAAUAACCUGCUCCCUGAGAAGGGUUGGUGGGGGAAGCCCUGAUUUGUAGCGUUUGCUGGUUUCAGUGGUGUAACUUACUCUCGUCCCAAACAAGUUUGAGCUACUAAUACCUCGCUGAUACAAAGUUGGGGAGAGGCCCUCACCUUCCGCUCUGGCCAGCCCGUGGCAAGCCAGCUUCAGCACACCACUGAUACAAUCUACCUAAGUUUUUAGAAUCCUCACUUAUUUUGGAGAGUAGAGAGGAGGUCCAAGAAUGAGUUUGAGAAGAGGUGUCCUAGGGACCACCAACCUCAUCUAUGAUAAGUCAUCUCGGCAACAUCAGAAGUCCAGGGGAGUCAAGGCCUCAGUUACAAAAGCCCUUGAACUUCAAACCCCAAUGCCCUUAUUAGAAACAUCCUAAAAUCUCUUCUGUUACCUCUGCCAAACCCCUGACAAAGACUAGACCCCUGGAUUUUGCUAUUUUAAUCUCUUCUUGAAAAUGUUUUGCUUUAAGGAACACUUUUGGGGAAUUCCUUCAGGAAGUGCUCACAGUUGGUUCCAGCUUGGUCCCAAUUUACUAGGGGAUGGGUGUGUGAAAUCAGUCAAAGGGAGAUGUAAUUCUGAGGGACUGAGCAGGUGUGUGAAUCCUGACUCCACCGCCUCCAUGCCGGGGGGGUCGGUGGGGAUGAAGAAUGAGGACCCUUACAAGGAGGAGUUUAUAUGAACAAAAUACUUUAUUAUUUGAGAAAGAAAAGGCCAAAUUACAAAACUUUUGUACUCAAGUCCUGUUCAUUACCACGCCAAAGGUUUACCAUGGAUUUGAUUUUCCGUAACUAUUGGGUCGAGCCACAUAAAGCUGCCAACUUUGUAGGCGAAACAGACAAACAUUGGCAAUUUCGUGUGGUCAAAGCCCAUAGAAAAUGAGCCAGCCGGUGGCUAAGAUUUCUUUUUGGCAGCAAGAUGUUCCCAGUCCCAUGUCUGUUGAUGUUAUAAACCGAUGUCUGAGAGAUAAACAGGUCCUGCUUGAGAAAAACACCUUGUGCGUAGUGAUACUGGAAUACAGUCUUGUGUGGGUUCUGAGACCGUGUGGUGCCCCUUCCAGCUCUGCUCUCCCCCGCU